RNAcentral lists this long non-coding RNA (455 nucleotides) under Athene cunicularia (burrowing owl). RNAcentral describes it as "lncRNA (ENSACUG00000011079.1)". The record is from RNAcentral. Lineage: Eukaryota; Metazoa; Chordata; Aves; Strigiformes; Strigidae.
GCAGAGAGAAAGAGCGAGAACUGUGCUGUGGAAAAGCAGGUGUGAUUCAUGAAUAAACUAUAGUUUGCAACCCUAUGGGAUACUGAUGAAACAAAUAGAAUUUUCACAGACAUGGAUAAUACAAGAACACAAGACACUUUUUCACAGUUAAACCAGGAAAAAAUCCUCAAAAUUAUGAACAUGGUGAAAAAUAAAGAAGUGAGCAUUGAAGGAGCUUUGCAUUUGGCACAGAAAGAGGUGUAUACUGAAAAGGAUUCACAGGAUUUGCUAACUGGCUCACAGUUUAACUUCAUUAUCUACAAAUACAAACAUUAUCGGUGGCAGAAACGAAUUCUGCAGAUUGAUUUCAAUACAAAGACCAUUUUUAACAUUGAAAAAGGAAUUAUUAAGAAACAGUUCCCUUUCUCACAAGUCAAAGCCUGUGAAGAUACUGAAAGGAGGCGCUUCAGUAUUGU